This is a long non-coding RNA of Asparagus officinalis (garden asparagus), 253 nucleotides long. RefSeq lists it as uncharacterized. The transcript has 2 exons. Lineage: Eukaryota; Viridiplantae; Streptophyta; Magnoliopsida; Asparagales; Asparagaceae. The record is from RefSeq and is a predicted model, not a curated record.
UAUCAUAUAAGCUCAAUCUUGAACACCUGACACUUCAGUUUUUAUUAUCUAUUUUUCGUGUAUCUAGUACUUAUGUGAUUCUUUUCAUUUAUUACUAGUUAAUCACUUCUCUUUGAGCGAUGGAAACAGUGGGUGAUUCUAGAUCAAGUUCAAAAGAGAAGAGAUCAUUUGAGGUCAUGAGCAAACCUCUUGCAAAGAAGCGUAAAAAGACCUUUUAUCCUCCUCUACAUGUGACAAAUCUUGCAAGGAUGAA